Molecule: ribosomal RNA, 253 nt
Filed under: uncultured bacterium
Lineage: Bacteria
Description: partial 16S ribosomal RNA
Rfam family: Bacterial small subunit ribosomal RNA
Source: RNAcentral
UACGGAGGGUGCAAGCGUUAUCCGGAUUCACUGGGUUUAAAGGGUGUGUAGGCGGGCUGUUAAGUCAGUGGUGAAAUCUCAAGGCUCAACCUUGAAACUGCCAUUGAUACUAUCAGUCUUGAAUCUUGUUGAGGUGGGCGGAAUAUGUCAUGUAGCGGUGAAAUGCUUAGAUAUGACAUAGAACACCAAUUGCGAAGGCAGCUCGCUAAACAAGUAUUGACGCUGAGGCACGAAAGCGUGGGGAUCAAACAGG